AUGCGUCCAAAGAUCUCAGAUUUCGACAUUGCAAGAAUAGUUGAAGUGGAUGAAAUGCUUGAGAAUGCAACUACAUGACAAUUGGAACAUUGGCAACUGUGAAGAUAUGCCAACGACGGUAGAGGUGAUGAAUAAUGUUGGCAAGUGAGAAUCAACUUCUAACCCAGCUAAAGCAACCUGUAAUUAAUGACAUCAACCUCAACUAUCAGUGAAGGAGAUUUAACUAUAGAAGAAAUGAGUCUCCCUGUGUGACAGGCUGAUGAGGUGAAAUGAGUUCCUUUGAUUCUUAUUGAUUAUACUUUUGUCAUGUCAAAGUUCAUAAAAAUCAACUUCUACAGAAAUCAUCACGAUCACAGAGAAUAUCUUGAAUAUUAAUGAUUGACCAGCAUUUUCAGUUA
This is a long non-coding RNA of Zingiber officinale, 398 nucleotides long. RefSeq lists it as uncharacterized. The transcript is spliced from 2 exons. Lineage: Eukaryota; Viridiplantae; Streptophyta; Magnoliopsida; Zingiberales; Zingiberaceae. The record is from RefSeq and is a predicted model, not a curated record.